AUACAGUCUCAAGGCUUUAACAAAAGCCAGUAUCUGAGACGGCUCCACAGAGGCCAGCUCUCCAUCCUCGACAUCAGCCGUACCCUUUGUGUGGCUUUGCUGAAAAUGUUCUUAUAUAAGCCCAUUCCACAGGAGUUUACUGUUUAAGAUUAUUCCCAGAUGUCAAAUAUCUUCCUAUGAUCGCAGUAUUUCUUUUUCAUCUAGUUGGAUUCUUUCAGGAUCAGGUUUUUCAGAAAAUUGGAGUUGCAAUUUAUAAAAACUUAUAACUUCAUCAUUGCUUGUUUAGGACACCCUGUAUACAACAAAAUAUUUUUAGGAUAUUCAACUUUAUAAACCAUGCAACAUUUAUAUUAAACUUUUUUUUCAUAUCUUUCUCAACAACGACGAUGUAUGUUCGCACCCUGUAUGUUUUCCCAAUAAUAAUAUUUCAGAUAUAAGUAGAUAAAGAAAAACGCGGAAGUUUCCAAUUUCAAAUAAAAGGUGUGUACGUUUGGUUGUUAUGGUGAUAAGGGCGGUCUUGAAAAUCGACCCUUAUUUCCAAACGACGUGCGCCCUUCUAGGACGCAUGCGCCAUUCAGAUUUUUAAAACAAAACUCGAAAUAGGUGAAAUGUUAAUAGCGGCUUUUGCGGAUAGUUUUAAAUUAUAUUUGAAACCCAUGUCCUAACAAAACAGUAUGAAUGAGGACUAAUUGCCUUAAUUUUCCGAUAGUCAUCACUUUGUUGAUGCUAUCGUUGAUUCCAUGGCCGGGUCCAACAAUUUUCAAAAUAUCUUGUCCAAGAGAUAACGCAAGGAUAGUAAGAAAAAUAGUCCAGAGCAAAUGGAUUCCAGUUUUAGAUAAAUACAAGGUUAAGUUACCACUAGAAUGCCCCUUUCAUCCUCAACGGGACAUAUUUGGUCCACAACAAGCUGCCAAAAAACAACACAGACCUUCACAAUGGACCUGCGGCAUAUGCGGAAAAUCAUUUUUCGAAGAGAAAUAUUUAGAUAUGCACUUUGACAAUCGACACAAAGGAUAUAUAAACAUGGCUGAAGACGCCGUGUGUCUAGCAGACUAUUGCGAUAUAAUGAGAUGCGACGUGAUCAACAGUUUAGAACUUAAAACUACUUCUUCGGACCACGAUAAUACGGAUAUCGAAAUAUGGCGAGAGGGAUCUUCAUAUACUAAAGCACUAACAACUUCUGGACCACGGGAUGUAGCUAAAUACACUGUCAAGACAGAUAAUUUCGUAUUUUUGCAAAAAAAUGGGAAAGCUGAUCAGGAAGAACUGAGGAAACGGUGCCAAAAAACAGACGCUCCUGAGGCUGCAAACAUGAAAGAAAGCAGCUCAUCGAACCAAGUAGACAAAACUCUACAAAAUACCAGUUCUGACGUUUGCCAGAGCGAUUUGGUAGAUUCGGCUCUACCGGCACCUGACAAUCGACAGCAACGCAUCAACGAAAUUCAAAAGUUAAAAGCCAACUGCAAACCGGAAGAGUUGCAGAAAAUUAAGACGAAAUGUGAGAUUUUGGUUAGAGAUUGUAUAGCUAGUUUGCUAAUUGAACUAAGUAUUAAGGAUUUUAAAGAAGUGGAAGAUGAAUUCAACAGAGCAGUGUGUUGGUAUCUAACAUGUGACAGAUAUUGGGAAGAUUCACAAUCAGACAUAAAAUCGUUUCCAUGGGGAUUGCUUUGUAUGGUUAUGAUGGUACUAUCUCUAGGGGUGUGUCUCUGUUACUACGUUGUAUGGGUGUUAUUUGAAAUCUGUUAUGAUUCACAAAAACCGAUAUCAGUAUUUUUAGUACAGACGAUGUCAGCGUUACUAGUGCUAGUAUUACUGACAGAUCGACACCGUCACCCGCGCAUUUACUGAGGGGUGAUAUAGUGUCUACUAGUGAUGGCCACCACGUUUAUUCAGAGGAUUACAUAGGCGGCGAUAAGGACAAUGAGUACAUCUAUGUCACUUAUCCCCCAGAUUUAAAAAGAAGACUGUUAGAAAGCUGCUACAAUCGAACUACACGCUUGUGAGGUACUAGAAAGUUUAGGAAGAGCUACUUUUUCAUAAAACAAUAGAAAAUAUUAGUUAUAAUUAGAUAGACCAAACUUGUACACAGAAUUUUACUCAGAAAUGUUUAGAUUCGCUUAAUAAAAUGCUAAACCAAUAAAUAUCCUAUAUUCUUAAUUUAACGUAGACGUUUAUUUACACUAAAGGAUUUUAAAUCUAAAUUUAACAAAAAAAUCUUCAAGCUAGAAAACUUAUAUACUCCUAUUUCAGUAAUACUCAUAGACCCUUUUUUGGGUCUCUCAACUGAUUAAAAUGUAGACAUAGUUUUUACCUCCCUUUUGUUACGCAUUAGAAAUACAGAAAGCUGACUUAGGAUGGCGUUGAUAUAUCUAUAUACCUUUUAUCUACGAUUGAAAAAAAAACAGCGUCAGGUUGACUUGGAAAUAACGAUCUACGACAUUCCCCCUAUAAAAUGGCAGCGAUCUUCAUUUCCAAGCCAACACUGACACGUUUUUUCCAUUCUUAUGGUAUAUGCACUAAUACUAGAGAAAAGACAUCCAAAAAUUAACAGAAAGAAUACUCUUCAACCUCUGCUUCAACUAAAAUGACAGACAUAAUUGUCACUGUUAUAUAUUCUCUCAUAUAUUUGGAUACACUAUACAUUUAUACAUCAAUAAAAUAAGCAUUACAUGAGUAAAAUUCUGAUGAAAGUGUUCAUUUGUAGAUUUCUAGUCAAAUACUUGUCUUUAUAGUGCCUAACUCCUUAUUAUAGUCUAUAGAUGUUUUAGGUAGGUUUACUUUAAACAUAUUAACGACUCUAUAAUUCUUAUUUAGAUAUAAUUUUAUUUAUUUCUUGUAUUAUAGAUAGAGUUAUAAUAUAGUUCUUUAUAUAAUUAAUCGAAUUAUUUUACCUACUUUCUCAUUAAUAAACUCUUUUGUAAUACUUAUUGUACCUGCAUUU
Molecule: unclassified non-coding RNA, 2941 nt
Filed under: Sitophilus oryzae (rice weevil)
Lineage: Eukaryota; Metazoa; Arthropoda; Insecta; Coleoptera; Curculionidae
Description: uncharacterized LOC115889565, transcript variant X5
Source: RNAcentral